GUGUCAGCCGCCGCGGUAAUACGUAUGGGGCAAGCGUUGUUCGGAGUUAUUGGGCGUAAAGGGCGUGUAGGCGGCUCAUCAAGUCUGGUGUGAAAUUGCAGGGCUCAACCCUGCAGGUGCGCUGGAAACUGGUGGGCUAGAGUUCUUGAGGGGAAGCUGGAAUUCCAGGUGUAGGGGUGAAAUCUGUAGAUAUCUGGAAGAACACCGGUGGCGAAGGCGAGCUUCUAUCAGAGGACUGACGCUGAGGCGCGAAAGCGUGGGGAGCAAACAGGAUUAGAUACCCUGGUAGUCCACGCUGUAAACGAUGUGCACUAGGCGUGGGGCACGUACGUGCUCUGUGCCGUAGCCAACGCGAUAAGUGCACCGCCUGGGGAGUAUGCUCGCAAGGGUGAAACUUAAAUGAAUUGGCGGGG
Molecule: ribosomal RNA, 413 nt
Filed under: uncultured prokaryote
Description: bacterial SSU rRNA
Rfam family: Bacterial small subunit ribosomal RNA
Source: RNAcentral